This 3389-nucleotide long non-coding RNA is filed under the name Olea europaea (common olive). RNAcentral describes it as "long non-coding RNA (OEUR_LNC013690)". Lineage: Eukaryota; Viridiplantae; Streptophyta; Magnoliopsida; Lamiales; Oleaceae. The record is from RNAcentral.
GUACAUAUAAUCAUAAUGAAUAAGAAUCUUAGAUAAAAGAAAUAAAGGGUUCCAAAUAGGUUACAUUGUUUGCCCUAUAAACAAGAAGUUAUUAUGGAAGACAUCACUAGGUUUUGAAUAAGAAUAUAGAAUAAGAAAUCAAUCUUGCACCAAGAUAUUCUUCCUCUUCCAAUAAUGCGUUAAACCUUAGAUUGUUUGAUGUUUUCCUCCUUUGAAUUCCUCUUUUGAUUCUCCAAUUAUGUUCACUUGUCUCUCAAUGUGUAAAUCCCCUAAAAAGCGUGAGAAAAAUUGUAUUUAUGGGUGCCUCCUCUUGUCUAUGGAAAAUAUGAUUUUUAUGGACUUCAAAACGGGCCAAAAAGCACCCUAGACACACCCAGGCGGCACCUCGGUGCCUUGAAGUGGCAUCGCAGCGCAACAGCUUUGGUGCCACCUUUCGGGCAGACAGCAUCUUGUUUAGUAUUUUUAUCAUAACUUUCUCUGUUGAUAUCCAAUUGAGGCAAUUCAAGUUGCAUUGGAAAGCUUAUUUAAAGGGCUACAACUUUGCUUUAGAUAUUAUUUUCAAAUUUGAUCAUUUUCUAUGUCAAAAUUGGGUCCCAAUAUGAGGUUGAAAAUAAUGCAUAACUUUUUUCCGUUUGAACUUGAUGUGUGAUCAUACUUUGAUUGUAUUUAAUCCCUCCGAUAUUUUUAUUUAUCCAGUAGACUCUGAGAACUCUUGAAUCUUCACUAUGAGGUCCGAUACAACUUUCGAGUAUUUACACUUUAGUUCCCGAACUUUGGAUCUCUUACAACUUAGUCUUUUUCUCCAAUUUUGACCACUUUUGCUUCUUCUACUUUCUUGUACCAUCAUUGAAUUUUACCUAUUCAACACCAAUUACAACAAUUUAGACCAUAUUUCAUUCAAAAAGCAAUUAAAUAUCAUCGUUUUAAAGUCUUGAAUAAGUGUAUAAAAUACACUUAUGUUGUAAUGGAAGUAAUCACGAAAUAAAUAGACGUGGAUUGUUAUUAGGUCUUCAAAUGAUCUAGGUUUAAUCAUUAUAUUUUCCAAAAGUGUUAAAACAUUCAUGGAAAGUUUUUGCAAGGGUCCUCUACUAAGAAUUUGGCAAAUGAUUGAAAUAAUGCUUGCCUUCAUUCAAGAGAAUUGAGUCUUAGACAGGGUGGGAGGUUGAUGCACAAACAAGAGAUGUACUUUUGUUGUUUUAUGUUAGCCUUCUACAAACUUGAGAUAACCGCCAGGGUUCGAUCGAAGUGGGAUAUUGACAUGACCCGUCCCAAAUCACCCUAGUGGAUCCGAAACGUGACGUGAGUUGAUGAUAGAUGCUGACUAGAUGUCAAAUCUAUCACUAAGGCUGACUAUGAGUUAUUUCAAAAAAUACAACAAAAUCAAAUGCUUAUGUAAAACAUAAUACGAUGGGUCCAAUAUAUUUACUUCAUGCUUCAUCAAUAUGAGUUAUAAUAUUCAACAUGUCGUGUGACUCUCAUUCUAAAAUCAUUAGGCUCUUCAAGCUAAAAGGAAUCUAUUGCUAUUUGUAGGAAAAAUUAUGGGAAAAUAUAUUAGUUGAUAGCUCAGUAAGUGGAGAAGUACGAAAAUAAUUAUACUUUUUCAAUUUUACAUUUUUAUCGAAAAUCGAUUUCAUAUUAUUGAAUAGUUUGCAAGAUAACAUCAUAUGAUUAUAGCCAAAACGUAAAACAUUCAUGUAACGUGGUAAAAUAUCAUCUCAAAAUCAUAAUAUGAACAAAAGGUGGUAAUCAUGCUAUAAUCUCAUCACAGCAAAUGUAUUGAACAAUUCACCAAAAAUAUAUCCUCUGACUAAAAUAUAUAAUCCGCCACUUGGGUUAAGAACUUUUGCCAUGGGCCUUUGGCCCCCUCCGUAAACAAAAAGUCGAUAUCAAAGACUUCUCAUAAUCAAUUUUAGAACACGGUCAAGACCCCUCUGUAAACUAUAUAUAUACGGUCGAGACCCCUUCAUCUACGGUCCGAGACCCCUUCAUCUACGGUCCAAGACCCCUCAGUGUAGUGUAGAACACGGCCAAGGACUCUCUGUGAACUAGAAGAAGUAUAUAAUCAUGGGUACUUUUUUGGUCAAUCUCAACAUCACAUGUCUUACAUACCAAACAAAUUUCAAUAUCACAUGUCUCACAUACCAAAUUAUAAAUAUGCCAUAAAUAAUCUUUGAGAUUCCGCAUGUAUUCUAAUAAAAGAGAUUUCUGUAAUAAUCAUAAAAUCGAACACAUAAUUGCAAAUAAAUGCACAUACUUUGAUAAUAGACUUAAUUUAUAAAUACUUUAAAAACAUUUAUAUGUUUCCACUUACAGAUCUAUGGAUAGAAAUCUACUUAAAUUGACAAGUCUUUCCAAACUUUCACGUCAUUACCUGAAAUAACAGUAUAGUUACUCAAAUUAAAACUUGACAAUUAAAGUAAUACAAUUUCACCACUUAACUCCCCAACUUCUAUAUUUACUUUUACAUCUCUAGUUCCCCAACUUUUAUUUUCUUUAUUGAUUCAUCAACAAAACACCAUGCAUUAUUAAAUCCAUUAAAUUACUCACACUUCCUUAAAAUCAAUAACUUAUACAUAUACAACCCCUAUGCAUAAUUUAUUCCGAUACAUAAACCUCAAUACUUGUCAUAAAACUUCAUUCAAGCCUUUAAAAUGUGAAAUCAAAGGUUUGACAAAGACAGCACUAAAAUUCCAUAAUGUUGAAAUCUGACACCAAUUUCUAGAUAUUGAAAUUUGGCCCCAAAACUAUUGAUAGAAGUGGCAACAUUCUGGGCACACUUUUAGAAAUAGCACCUAUACUACAGUAACCCUAAAAUUACCUUUAAAAAAUGGAAAAUUCCAACCUCAAAUCCCUAAUUUAAGUGUUCAAUAUUAUAGAAUCACAACAAAAUCAAAGAGUAAGUAUUUAUCUCACAAACCCCUUCAAAAUUCCAAUUUCUUCAUCACAAAUUUCAAAAUAUACAUUCCUUUGAUAUAUUCUUGUUUAAUACCUCAAAAAUAUAAUAAUAAUCUCUAAUUCUUGCUAAACUUCGAAUAUGAAUGAAUGGUUCAUAAACUCUAGAAAUUUAAUUAACUUACCUCUUUAAAAUAAGGAUAAGCUGAAGAAAUGAAGAACCCAAACUUAUAAAAAUCACCGGCCUCUUCCAUUUCCUUUCUUUUCUUCUUUUUUUUCUUCCUUUUUCUCUCUUUUUCUCCCUCUUUUUCUCGAAUUCUCCCAGCUUCUGCCCCGUUUCCACUUUCCACAUUCUUGUAUAUGUUUUUGUGUGUGUAAUGAAAUGAACAAGUGGUUUUUAAAUGGGCCACAACUAAAAUUUGUAAAGAAAAUCCCCCUUCUUCAAUUAAGCAUAACAUUUAGUCAUUAAACUUCCAUACUUGUAAAUUAAAUUCUAA